RNAcentral lists this ribosomal RNA (467 nucleotides) under uncultured bacterium. Its description in RNAcentral is "bacterial SSU rRNA". It matches the Rfam family "Bacterial small subunit ribosomal RNA", at positions 355 to 825 of the family's 1533-position model. The record is from RNAcentral.
UCGGGAAUUUUGGACAAUGGGUGAGAGCCUGAUCCAGCCAUGCCGCGUGCAGGAAGAAGGCGUUAUGCGUUGUAAACUGCUUUUUGCCAGGGGAUAAAAAGACCGUGCGCGGUUAAUUGAAGGUACCUGGUGAAUAAGCCACGGCUAACUACGUGCCAGCAGCCGCGGUAAUACGUAGGUGGCAAGCGUUGUCCGGAUUUAUUGGGUUUAAAGGGUGCGUAGGUGGCCCUGUAAGUCAGUGGUGAAAUAUCUCAGCUUAACUGAGAGGGUGCCAUUGAUACUGCAGGGCUUGAGUACAGAUGAGGUAGGCGGAAUUGACGGUGUAGCGGUGAAAUGCAUAGAUAUCGUCAAGAACACCGAUAGCGAAGGCAGCUUACCAAGCUGUAACUGACACUGAGGCACGAAAGUGUGGGGAUCAAACAGGAUUAGAUACCCCAGUAGUCCCUGAGCGGGCUGGCAAGGCGCAU